AAGAAGGCCUUCGGGUUGUAAAGCCCUUUUGUACGGGAGGAAAAGCUGCCGGGUAGUAUCCGGUGGUCAUGACGGUACCGUAAGAAUAAGCACCGGCUAACUUCGUGC
RNAcentral lists this ribosomal RNA (108 nucleotides) under uncultured bacterium. Its description in RNAcentral is "partial 16S ribosomal RNA". It matches the Rfam family "Bacterial small subunit ribosomal RNA", at positions 408 to 508 of the family's 1533-position model. The record is from RNAcentral.